RNAcentral lists this ribosomal RNA (462 nucleotides) under uncultured organism. RNAcentral describes it as "partial 16S ribosomal RNA". It matches the Rfam family "Bacterial small subunit ribosomal RNA", at positions 329 to 799 of the family's 1533-position model. The record is from RNAcentral.
ACGUACACUCCUGCGGGAGGCAGCAGUGGGGAAUAUUGCACAAUGGGCGCAAGCCUGAUGCAGCGACGCCGCGUGGGGGAUGAAGGCCUUCGGGUUGUAAACUCCUUUCGCUAGGGACGAAGCUUUUUUGUGACGGUACCUAGAUAAGAAGCACCGGCUAACUACGUGCCAGCAGCCGCGGUAAUACGUAGGGUGCGAGCGUUGUCCGGAAUUACUGGGCGUAAAGGGCUCGUAGGUGGUUUGUCGCGUCGUCUGUGAAAUUCUGGGGCUUAACUCCGGGCGUGCAGGCGAUACGGGCAUAACUUGAGUGCUGUAGGGGUAACUGGAAUUCCUGGUGUAGCGGUGAAAUGCGCAGAUAUCAGGAGGAACACCGAUGGCGAAGGCAGGUUACUGGGCAGUUACUGACGCUGAGGAGCGAAAGCAUGGGUAGCGAACAGGAUUAGAAACCCUGGUAGUCCCAUG